This is a long non-coding RNA of Phycodurus eques (leafy seadragon), 211 nucleotides long. RefSeq lists it as uncharacterized. NCBI's taxonomy places the organism in Eukaryota, Metazoa, Chordata, Actinopteri, Syngnathiformes, Syngnathidae. The transcript has 3 exons. The record is from RefSeq and is a predicted model, not a curated record.
GACAAAUCUCAACUGUCGGAUUUUCAGUUCAGGGUGUGGAUCAAUCGUUUUUGGGCAUCUGUCCCUCCAUGUUUUUGCCUUGCCUUCCUCGCCUUCGACCACCCCAACAUGACAGAUCCAUAAACAUCAGUAGCAACAAAGAAAAUACUGCAGUUACUCCAGCUUCCGUCUACAUUCCAAAAACAUGCAUGGCAGGUUCAUUGAAGACUCA